UACGUAGGCAGCGAGCGUUGUUCGGAUUUACUGGGCGUAAAGCGUGCGUAGGCGGCGGCUCAAGUCGGGGGUGAAAUCCUCUCGCUCAACGAGAGAAUUGCCUCCGAUACUGGGUCGCUGGAGGGGGAUAGGGGUGCGCGGAACUUCCGGUGGAGCGGUGAAAUGCGUAGAUAUCGGAAGGAACGCCGGUGGCGAAAGCGGCACACUGGAUCCCUACUGACGCUGAGGCGCGAAAGCCAGGGGAGCAAACGGG
Molecule: ribosomal RNA, 253 nt
Filed under: uncultured bacterium
Lineage: Bacteria
Description: partial 16S ribosomal RNA
Rfam family: Bacterial small subunit ribosomal RNA
Source: RNAcentral